Molecule: long non-coding RNA, 599 nt
Organism: Zophobas morio
Lineage: Eukaryota; Metazoa; Arthropoda; Insecta; Coleoptera; Tenebrionidae
Exons: 3
Source: RefSeq, a predicted model, not a curated record
CUAAACACACUCAACGAUCAUGUAUUUAAUUGAUAAGAACAUAAACAAUCUUUGAACGAAAUUUUAUUGUCGAGGCUUUGUCUGUGAUUGAAACGCAUAAACAGCUGUAGUAGUGGUUUCUACGAUGAAAACAUUUUAACUAGUGAGGUAUAGUGAAAGAAAUAUAUUUCUUAAUUUAUUUAUAUACGUUUAUAAGUGAACUGAAUUUGUUAUCACCAAAUGAGUCUUAUAAACGUUUGUUUUGUUAUCGCACUCUUUAGUGUUUAUCAAGUUAGGGGUGACGAAAACACUUUAAACUGUUACUACUGUGUUGACAAAUGUGAUUAUCCUUUUGAAGAAACAAGUUGUUGCUCUAAUGGUCGUGAUGGCGAAACAUUUAGCUGUAUCUCAUCAUUUACCAUAAUUGAGGGUACGCUCAUGGAACAAAAAGGCUGCGUUUCGAAUGACAACAGUGAUGUUAUAUGGGGUUGUGAAAAACUUAAUGAUAUGCAAGAUAGUUCAUGUCUUAUUUGCAAUAACGAUUUUUGUAAUUCUAGUACAAAAGUAACAAAUUCAGUAUUUAUUAUAUUAGGUUUAGCAUUAAAAUAUGUUUUUAACUA